RNAcentral lists this ribosomal RNA (262 nucleotides) under uncultured prokaryote. Its description in RNAcentral is "partial 16S ribosomal RNA". It matches the Rfam family "Bacterial small subunit ribosomal RNA", at positions 917 to 1178 of the family's 1533-position model. The record is from RNAcentral.
GGGCCCGCACAAGCGGUGGAGCAUGUGGUUUAAUUCGAAGCAACGCGAAGAACCUUACCAAAUCUUGACAUCCUUUGAAAACUCUAGAGAUAGAGCCUUCCCCUUCGGGGGACAAAGUGACAGGUGGUGCAUGGUUGUCGUCAGCUCGUGUCGUGAGAUGUUGGGUUAAGUCCCGCAACGAGCGCAACCCUUAAACUUAGUUGCCAGCAUUUAGUUGGGCACUCUAGGUUGACUGCCGGUGACAAACCGGAGGAAGGUGGGG